Molecule: long non-coding RNA, 597 nt
Organism: Aethina tumida (small hive beetle)
Lineage: Eukaryota; Metazoa; Arthropoda; Insecta; Coleoptera; Nitidulidae
Exons: 3
Source: RefSeq, a predicted model, not a curated record
UUUAUUGCUUUAUGAUAAUUAUUUAUAUGGAAGACUAUAAAAAUUUAAUAGAACAAAUAAGAUAAAAGAUGUUUUAUUAUGAACUCCUACAAAAUUAAAGAAAAAUGCACCAACCUUGACCUGGGUUCUGUAUGCAAGUUAAUAAAUAGUGAACUUAAGACAUAAUUGCGAUAGUUCUUAGAUAUAGUUGUUAAUGUCGAAGUGAAAAUGAAUUUAGUGAUUUUCAUUAUUUGGACAUGUUUAAAAGUCACAUUAUCCGCUCAAAAUGAUACUGAUCUAAUCGAAUGUUACGGCAAAAUAUGUCCAGCCGGUAGCAUCAUAUGUAAACGUACACGGGAAACUGUUGAAAAAAACAGGAUAAUAAAUACAACUAUUGAAUGUCAAGAUUUCAGUGGAUCUACAUUACACUCCAAUAGUACUUUCGAAGAUAAUACUGAUGAAUCCGUAAAUAUCAAAAGUACGUCAUUUCAAAUGACACUGAGUGGAAAUAAUAUAACAUACAAUAAUGGCGAAGGAUUGUCCUUUAAAAGUGUAUCUUAUAAUUAAAUAUUGUAAUUUAUAAUUGUUUUCAUAUAAUAAAAAACAGUUUAAAUAUUA